RNAcentral lists this ribosomal RNA (450 nucleotides) under uncultured bacterium. RNAcentral's name for it is "partial 16S ribosomal RNA". It matches the Rfam family "Bacterial small subunit ribosomal RNA", at positions 338 to 795 of the family's 1533-position model. The record is from RNAcentral.
CCUACGGGGGGCAGCAGUGGGGAAUCUUGCGCAAUGGGCGAAAGCCUGACGCAGCGACGCCGCGUGGGUGAUGAAGGCCUUCGGGUUGUAAAGCUCUUUGGGUGGAGACGAAUAAGUCGUGGCUAACAUCCACGAUGAUGACGGUAUCCACAUAACAAGCACCGGCUAACUCUGUGCCAGCAGCCGCGGUAAGACAGAGGGUGCAAACGUUGUUCGGAAUUACUGGGCGUAAACCACAUGUAGGCGAUGUGAAAUCCCUCGGCUCAACCAAGGAAGUGCAUUCGAAACCGAAUGGCUGGAGUCCCGGAGAGGAAGGUGGAAUUCUCGGUGUAGAGGUGAAAUUCGUAGAUAUCGAGAGGAACACCGGUGGCGAAAGCGGCCUUCUGGACGAGGACUGACGCUGAGAUGCGAAAGCGUGGGGAGCAAACAGGAUUAGAUACCCCAGUAGUC